UACGUAGGAGGCAAGCGUUGUCCGGAAUACUGGGCGUAAAGCGUGCGCAGGCGGUUAUGUAAGACAGGUGUGAAAUCCCCGGGCUUAACCUGGGAACUGCAUUUGUGACUGCAUAGCUAGAGUACGGUAGAGGGGGAUGGAAUUCCGCGUGUAGCAGUGAAAUGCGUAGAUAUGCGGAGGAACACCGAUGGCGAAGGCAAUCCCCUGGACCUGUACUGACGCUCAUGCACGAAAGCGUGGGGAGCAAACAGG
This 252-nucleotide ribosomal RNA is filed under the name uncultured bacterium. RNAcentral describes it as "partial 16S ribosomal RNA". It matches the Rfam family "Bacterial small subunit ribosomal RNA", at positions 524 to 776 of the family's 1533-position model. The record is from RNAcentral.